GCUACCCUGUGGCAGGCAGAAGAGAAAGCACAGGAAGUACAAGCUGGGGUGACUUGCCACUCCUGGGACCCCCAGUGAGCAGUGGGGGGCUAGAAAUUGUGUCGAGCUGAAAUAUGGUGAGCGACGACGCUGACCAAAUGGCUUUUCCUCCAGCAGUAGUGAGGAGUGAUCCAAGAGAACAACGGGCUUGAAAUGUUACUCCUGUCUGGCUGGCACUGAGGCACAUUCUGUGGGGCUUCGACGUGAAGUGCCUGGGUGCUGAAGUCAGCCUGGACUGACACUGGCUCCCCCAGGAUUGGGGAGGUCACUCCAGGUCUUCUACUCAACCCCAGAUGUUGUUUUCUCACCUGUGAUGUGGAGAGAGUGAUAAUCCUACCAUAAGGCUUGGAAGAAACUAGGGCUGAAUUAUAAAGUGGCCUACUCAGAAGAUAUGGAUGAACAGUUUUCUAAAGAGAUAUGCAUGGCCCACAGAUGCACUUCACUCAUCAUUAGAGAAACACAAAUGAAAAACCACGUUGAGAUUCUAACUCACACCAGUGAGAAUGGCCAACAGCAACAAAACAGGAACUGCUAAGUGUUGGUGAGUAUGUGGAAAAAGAGGAACUCUGUUAUACUGUUGGUGCAACCAUUAUGGAAUAGGAAGAACUGUUAAACAAACACAGGUGGGGAUAACUGAUGACCCAGCAAUACCACUCUUAAGCAUUUAUCCAACAGAUAACAAAGUGUUAAUUCUCAAAGGGAUGCAUGCAGCCUCGUGUUCAAAAUCACUCAUGAUCAUCAAAAUACAGAAGCAACUUAAAUGCCUGUCGAUUGGUGACUAGAUAAAGAACAUAUGGGACUUAUAUUCAAUGGAAUACUACUUGGCAAUUUAAAAAGAUAGUAUUGUGUCCUUCAGAACCAACCGGAUGAAACUGGAGGUGAAGUAAGGAAAUAAAGUAAGGAAGGAGGUGAAAGACAACUGCCAGAUGGUUUCACUCUUAUGUAGAACAUAAAGAAUUUAAAUACAUGAGCUUGAAAAACAAAACAAACAAACAAAAACCUCAGUAAACAGCCUGUCUCUAAAACUGCAGAGGACCUAUAGUGGCUAUUAUUGGGGGUAGGGGUCGAGGUGGGAACAGAACUUUGGUUGGAGUGAUGUGGAACUACACCCCUAUUGUCUUAAAAUUGUCUAAGUCACUAAUAAAUAAAUAAUUUUUUAAAUGCCCCACCGUAGACCACACUGGCCUGUCCGUGAGCUAGGUCUUCAAUGUCCCUUAGGCAGAUUUCCCAGAAUCAGGUGAGGUGGAGUUGAGGAGAAGCUGCCCCAGAGACAACUCCCCAGGACUGUUUGCUGAGAAAAAUACACAAGCAUAUCAUCUUGAGCAUUCUAGUAAUUACUCUCAGCUAGACAGACUCAGAGCAGAAUCUGCUAUGCUGUUGGAUUCAUGUUGCAGAAUCCCAUCACUUGGAUCUCUGUUUCUGUAUUUCUUCGAUUCCCUACAGAUGAGGUCAGAAAUCAAAACAGUUUGGCACAAGGUAGAAAAGUAAGGUUAGCUAGAGAGGUUGCAGAUUUAGCAAGGCGCUCUCAUUGUGGCUGGGCAUGGGGAGUGGAGGUGAAUAUCCAAAAAUAAAUCUGGUUUUCUGGUGGGGGGAGAUUAAGCUGAGUGACUGAGAGACAAUCUGAAUGUGGAUUUCAUUUAAUGCUGGAAUGAAAGUUGUUCGGGGAUAAAGAGACACAAGUGAUUUGCGUUUGGUCCAUGUGUGGCCAAGGUGGGUCUUUUCACCCAGAGGCCAAGGACACAUGCAUCAUCCCAUGGUCAGCUGGGCUGUCAGAGGGGUGGCUUAUGUGUCCAACCUUUGGAGUCAGGAUUGCUUUUCACAGGAACAGUGCACCAGUACUGUACUAGCAUGCUAGGCAUCCACUCAUCAUCCAUCCAGUCACUGGGCAGUCACUGCAGGCCUACUGCGUGCAGGCAUUCUGGCAGGUAAUUGAGCAUGAUAUUAGAGUCCUGUGAAUAUCAGGGACAAAAUAACAAUAUAUAAUUCAGGGCUUACCAGUGCAAUACAUUAACAAGAUAGAUUAGAGAGUGGCAUUCGAUUCUGAAGUUUUUCAUUAUUUGUGGGUAAGGCAUGUGUGUGUGGGUGGGCGUGCGCUUAAUGCGUAAUUUAAUCAGCAGUGCAAAGGCACCGCACAUGGAGUUGAGGCUCUGCAGAGCACACCUCCACCACUGCUAUUCAUUUAAUGAAUACUCUUGGGCACUUUUUAAAUUGAAAGAUGGUUCAUUAGAUCUGUGCAUCUGCCCUUCUCAGCAAUCUGUUGUGUUUCUGGUGGAGGCAGGAGAAAACAUGAACUUAUCAUUUUUAGGGAUGUUAUGAGUAACUCAGCUUCCAAUGAUUACAGAGUCAUAAAGGGCUCAGGGAGCCUAAUUUAAGGAAAACAAUUUGACUGAA
Long non-coding RNA from Erinaceus europaeus (western European hedgehog), 2430 nucleotides. RefSeq lists it as uncharacterized. NCBI's taxonomy places the organism in Eukaryota, Metazoa, Chordata, Mammalia, Eulipotyphla, Erinaceidae. The record is from RefSeq and is a predicted model, not a curated record. The transcript is spliced from 3 exons.